RNAcentral lists this ribosomal RNA (440 nucleotides) under uncultured bacterium. RNAcentral describes it as "partial 16S ribosomal RNA". It matches the Rfam family "Bacterial small subunit ribosomal RNA", at positions 338 to 795 of the family's 1533-position model. The record is from RNAcentral.
CCUACGGGUGACAGCAGUGGGGAAUAUUGUACAAUGGGGGAAACCCUGAUGCAGCGACGCCGCGUGAGUGAAGAAGUAAUUCGUUAUGUAAAGCUCUAUCAGCAGGGAAGAAAAUGACGGUACCUGAGUAAGAAGCCCCGGCUAACUACGUGCCAGCAGCCGCGGUAAUACGUAGGGGGCAAGCGUUAUCCGGAUUUACUGGGUGGAAAGGGAGCGUAGACGGCAGUGCAAGUCUGGAGUGAAAGGCGGGGGCUCAACCCCCGGCCUGCUCUGGAAACUGUACGGCGGGAGUGCAGGAGAGGUAAGUGGAAUUCCUAGUGUAGCGGUGAAAUGCGUAGAUAUUAGGAGGAACACCAGUGGCGAAGGCGGCUUACUGGACUGUAACUGACGUUGAGGCUCGAAAGCGUGGGGAGCAAACAGGAUUAGAUACCCUGGUAGUC